CUUCUCACGCGGGAGAUAAACAGAAAGAGCAAGAGUCUAGUUUCAUUAAUAAUUUGGAUCGAUUGCAUUAAAUUUGAUUAAAAACGAUAAGGAUAAGCAGUUCCUUAUUCUGCAAAGGGAAGUUGGAAGGCCUGGAUCUGCCUUUGCGAGAGUUAAAAAAGGCAAAAUCGAAGAAGAACCAACAACGGAACCAGAGCCUUCCUUGGAAUCUCAAUCAGCUACCAGCGUUUUUACUAUUGAUGAAGGAGAUGAGAAACCCUCCACUAGUAGAGCGUUUUCCGAGCGAAGUAAAUAAAAAAUAAUGACUCCUAUACUAGCUGCCACCCUAGACCGUAUUGGACUAAGCGACCGAAAUGCAAUGUAUGUUAUUUCUUCGGUUUUAACAAGUGCUGGACUAAACUUAGACGAUUUUACCGUUAGCAGACAAACAAUCUCAAGGGCCCGUGCAGAAUAUCGCGAAGAGAUUGCUCAAAAU
This is a long non-coding RNA of Armigeres subalbatus, 475 nucleotides long. RefSeq lists it as uncharacterized. The transcript has 3 exons. Lineage: Eukaryota; Metazoa; Arthropoda; Insecta; Diptera; Culicidae. The record is from RefSeq and is a predicted model, not a curated record.